AACCACUAAACAUCCUUUCUGGGAGAGAUGUAAGAAACCCAGAUCCCCAGGCGAGGAACCAGGCGGCAAGAGAUCUGUCGCGGCUGAGGACGCAUCAGUCUCCAUUUAUAGAACCCUGAGCCCUACAAUUGCAGCGGAGAGCGCGACGGAACUGCAGAGAUAAGCCAGAAAGUCAGAGUUGGGUUUAUGGAUGUAAGACGCGCACAAGAGUACAGAGAGGAGCUAAUCGGAGGAACCACCGCGCAGCUGAGACGGCAAUGGCCUUGUGGUCAGGCGGCAACAAUCGAGGACCCAGAAGGCAAUUCAGAGGAACGCGGAACCAAGGAGGCGACUAUGGAGCUGGUUCCAGCAACGGUGGAUGGCGGAUGGCGGCUGAAUGGUGAGGGCAAGCACAGUGUUAUCGAGGGACAAAGCGGUGGAGCGUCUUGGUAGGAACCGGGAGAGUUAGUGUUUAUAUGAAAUCUUGUUUCAGAUAUGGGGAUUGAAAGAAGUGGAGAAAACAAAAUUCUUGGACUGAGAUUCACAUCAAGACACAAGCGUUCGAAGAGGUUCUAGGUACCCAGAUUCUUGAUGCAUCGCCAGAUGCUUAUGCCUACUGGGAGGCCUUGGAUGCAAAUCAAAGAAGUUGAAUGUGAGCCUGCAACAAAAGAAA
This is a long non-coding RNA of Arachis ipaensis, 652 nucleotides long. RefSeq lists it as uncharacterized. The record is from RefSeq and is a predicted model, not a curated record. Lineage: Eukaryota; Viridiplantae; Streptophyta; Magnoliopsida; Fabales; Fabaceae.